CAGCUGGGAUGAUGGACCGCAGGAUGAAGGCGUUUCGCAAUCCAGUUCGACGUGACAUGGAACAAAACUGAACAAACUGCAGCAAAUCAGCGGCCUUACCUGUCACUUGCAGUGUCUGAAGUUCCCCGUCACUGUCCUGAACAGUGGUGGCUGACGCAGUGCUCAACUGCCAAGGUAUCCACAUUCAAGCUGGAUGAAGGGUUCCAGCUCGUUAACAGUGGUGGAUGAUCGCAGAAUCAUUUCCAUGAUGAAGAGAAACCCCUUAGUAACAGCCAACCAAGUGAACAACACUCUCCAGGAGGUCGGCGUAUCAAUAUCCAAAUCUACCAUAAAGAGAAGACUGCAUGAGAGCAAAUACAGAGGGUUCACUGCAAGAUGCAAGCCUCUCAUAAGCCUUAAGAAUACAAAGGCUAAAUUGGACAUCGCAAGAAAAACAUCUAAAAAAGCCAGAACAGUUCUGGAAGAGCAUUCUUUGGACAGAUGAAACCAACAUCAACCUGUAUCAGAAUGAUGGAAAGAAGGGCUGGAACAGCUUAUGAUCCAAAGAACACUGCAUUACCUGUAAAACAAGGUGGAGGCAGUGUGUUGGCUUGGGCAUGCAUGGCUGCCAGUGGCCCUGGGUCUUUAGUGUUUCUUGAUGAUGUGGCACUGUAUGGAAGCAGCUGAAUGAAUGCUGAGGUGUUCAGAGACAUCAUGUCUGCUCAAAUCCAGCCAAAUGCAGUCAAAUUAUUGGCCGGUGUUUCAUGAUACAGAUGGACAAUGACCCAAAACACACAGCAAAAGCAACCCAGGACUUUAUUAAAGCGAAGAAGUGGAACAUUCUCGGAUGGCCAAGUCAGUCACCUGAUCUCACCCCCAUUGAGCAUGCAUUUCGCUUGCUAAAGACUAAACUACAGACAGAAAGACCCUCAAACAAACAGCAACUGAAAGCUGCUGCAGUAACGGCCUGGCAGAGCAUUAAAAAGGAGGAAACCCAGCGUCUGCUCAUGUCCAUGAGUUCAAGACUUCAGGCAGUCAUUGCCUGCAAAGGGUUUUCAGCUAAGUAUUAGAAUUGAACAUUUUAUUUGCAGGUAUAUUAAUUUGUCCAGUUACUUGAUCCCCCUGAAAGGAGGGGAUUGUGUAGAAAAAUUACUUUAUUUCCCCACAUUUUUAUGCAAUGUUUUUGUUCUACCCACUGAAUUAAAGCUGCACUUCGCCUGCAUCUACAUUAGUCUAACAUAAGAGUUGCGUACAGAAAGCUAACACAGGACGAAGGUUAACCAUAAGUAACCAAAUACAAUAUUUUUUGUUUUUUGAUUGCAUUCACAGAUCUGAAAUGAAAAAUGUUCCCCACAACGUCAAAAUUACAGUUUUUAUUAUAUCGUGGGGAACAUUUGGUCCCCACAACAUAAUAUAAACAUAAUCCACACACACACACACACACACACGGUCACAAAAGACAGUUUUGAUGUUUCUGUAAGUAGAUUAUCAGCAGGAUGAAAAACACGACACCUGCAGGAUAUCGUCUGUGAGGCUUUUAAACCCCAAUAAAGUCAUGAUUAUUCCGAA
This is a long non-coding RNA of Brienomyrus brachyistius, 1548 nucleotides long. RefSeq lists it as uncharacterized. The record is from RefSeq and is a predicted model, not a curated record. Lineage: Eukaryota; Metazoa; Chordata; Actinopteri; Osteoglossiformes; Mormyridae. The transcript has 2 exons.